CGCUAGCUACAGGCUUAACACAUGCAAGUCGAGGGGCAGCAUGGUCUUAGCUUGCUAAGGCCGAUGGCGACCGGCGCACGGGUGAGUAACACGUAUCCAACCUGCCGUCUACUCUUGGACAGCCUUCUGAAAGGAAGAUUAAUACAAGAUGGCAUCAUGAGUCCACAUGUUCACAUGAUUAAAGGUAUUCCGGUAGACGAUGGGGAUGCGUUCCAUUAGAUAGUAGGCGGGGUAACGGCCCACCUAGUCUUCGAUGGAUAGGGGUUCUGAGAGGAAGGUCCCCCACAUUGGAACUGAGACACGGUCCAAACUCCUACGGGAGGCAGCAGUGAGGAAUAUUGGUCAAUGGGCGAGAGCCUGAACCAGCCAAGUAGCGUGAAGGAUGACUGCCCUAUGGGUUGUAAACUUCUUUUAUAAAGGAAUAAAGUCGGGUAUGCAUACCCGUUUGCAUGUACUUUAUGAAUAAGGAUCGGCUAACUCCGUGCCAGCAGCCGCGGUAAUACGGAGGAUCCGAGCGUUAUCCGGAUUUAUUGGGUUUAAAGGGAGCGUAGAUGGAUGUUUAAGUCAGUUGUGAAAGUUUGCGGCUCAACCGUAAAAUUGCAGUUGAUACUGGAUAUCUUGAGUGCAGUUGAGGCAGGCGGAAUUCGUGGUGUAGCGGUGAAAUGCUUAGAUAUCACGAAGAACUCCGAUUGCGAAGGCAGCCUGCUAAGCUGCAACUGACAUUGAGGCUCGAAAGUGUGGGUAUCAAACAGGAUUAGAUACCCUGGUAGUCCACACGGUAAACGAUGAAUACUCGCUGUUUGCGAUAUACAGCAAGCGGCCAAGCGAAAGCGUUAAGUAUUCCACCUGGGGAGUACGCCGGCAACGGUGAAACUCAAAGGAAUUGACGGGGGCCCGCACAAGCGGAGGAACAUGUGGUUUAAUUCGAUGAUACGCGAGGAACCUUACCCGGGCUUAAAUUGCAGAUGAAUUACGGUGAAAGCCGUAAGCCGCAAGGCAUCUGUGAAGGUGCUGCAUGGUUGUCGUCAGCUCGUGCCGUGAGGUGUCGGCUUAAGUGCCAUAACGAGCGCAACCCUUGUUGUCAGUUACUAACAGGUCAUGCUGAGGACUCUGACAAGACUGCCAUCGUAAGAUGUGAGGAAGGUGGGGAUGACGUCAAAUCAGCACGGCCCUUACGUCCGGGGCUACACACGUGUUACAAUGGGGGGUACAGAGGGCCGCUACCACGCGAGUGGAUGCCAAUCCCAAAAACCUCUCUCAGUUCGGACUGGAGUCUGCAACCCGACUCCACGAAGCUGGAUUCGCUAGUAAUCGCGCAUCAGCCACAGCGCGGUGAAUACGUUCCCGGGCCUUGUACACACCGCCCGUCAAGCCAUGGGAGCCGGGGGUACCUGAAGUGCGUAACCGCGAGGAGCGCCCUAGGGUAAAACUGGUGACUGGGGCUAAGU
This 1448-nucleotide ribosomal RNA is filed under the name uncultured organism. RNAcentral describes it as "SSU rRNA". It matches the Rfam family "Bacterial small subunit ribosomal RNA". The record is from RNAcentral.